GAUGAACGCUGGCGGCGUGCCUAAUACAUGCAAGUCGAGCGAACAGAUGAGGAGCUUGCUCCUCUGCCGUUAGCGGCGGACGGGUGAGUAACACGUGGAUAACCUACCUAUAAGACUGGGAUAACUACGGGAAACCGGAGCUAAUAUCCGAUAAUAUAUUGAACCUCAUGGUUCAAUAGUGAAAGCCGGAUUUGCUGUCCCUAAUAGGUGGUACCACGCCGCAUUAGCUAGUUGGUAAGGUAACGGCUUACCAAGGCGACGAUGCGUAGCCGACCUGAGAGGAUGAUCGGCCACACUGGAACUGAGACACGGUCCAGACUCCUACGGGAGGCAGCAGUGGGGAAUCUUGCGCAAUGGGCGAAAGCCUGACGGAGCAACGCCGCGUGAGUGAUGAAGGUCUUCGGAUCGUAAAGCUCUUUUAGUAGGGAGGAACAACUGUGUAAGUAAAUAUGCCCGUCUUGACGGUACCUAAAGAGAAAGCCCCGGCUAACUACGUG
Molecule: ribosomal RNA, 497 nt
Filed under: uncultured bacterium
Lineage: Bacteria
Description: partial 16S ribosomal RNA
Rfam family: Bacterial small subunit ribosomal RNA
Source: RNAcentral